This 639-nucleotide ribosomal RNA is filed under the name uncultured bacterium. Its description in RNAcentral is "bacterial SSU rRNA". It matches the Rfam family "Bacterial small subunit ribosomal RNA", at positions 28 to 639 of the family's 1533-position model. The record is from RNAcentral.
AAUGAACGCUGGCGGCGUGCUUAACACAUGCAAGUCGCACGAGAAAUCCCGACUUCGGUUGGGAGAGUAAAGUGGCGCACGGGUGAGUAACGCGUGGGUAAUCUACCCCUGAAUUUGGGAUAACAUUGCGAAAGCGAUGCUAAUACCGAAUGACAUCCAUAUGCUUUCGGACAAAUGGAUCAAAGGUGGCCGCUCCAUGGAAGCUACUGUUUGGGGAUGAGCCCGCGUACCAUUAGCUAGUUGGCAGGGUAAAGGCCUACCAAGGCGACGAUGGUUAGCUGGUCUGAGAUGAUGAUCAGCCACACUGGAACUGACACACGGUCCAGACUCCUACGGGAGGCAGCAGUGAGGAAUUUUGCGCAAUGGGGGAAACCCUGACGCAGCAACGCCGCGUGAGUGAUGAAGGCCUUCGGGUCGUAAAGCUCUGUCGAGUGGGAAGAACCCGCAUCGGAACAACAAGUCGAUGCGCUGACGGUACCACUGAAGGAAGCACCGGCUAACUCCGUGCCAGCAGCCGCGGUAAUACGGAGGGUGCGAGCGUUAUUCGGAAUUAUUGGGCGUAAAGGGCACGUAGGCGGCCGCGUUAGUCAGCUGUGAAAUCCCGGGGCUUAACCCCGGAAGUGCAGUUGAUACUGCGCG